Molecule: ribosomal RNA, 440 nt
Filed under: uncultured bacterium
Lineage: Bacteria
Description: partial 16S ribosomal RNA
Rfam family: Bacterial small subunit ribosomal RNA
Source: RNAcentral
CCUACGGGAGGCAGCAGUGGGGGAUAUUGCACAAUGGGGGAAACCCUGAUGCAGCGACGCCGCGUGUGGGAAGACGGUCCUCUGGAUUGUAAACCACUGUCCUCAGGGACGAAGAUGACGGUACCUGGGGAGGAAGCUCCGGCUAACUACGUGCCAGCAGCCGCGGUAAUACGUAGGGAGCGAGGGUUGUCCGGAAUUACUGGGUGUAAGGGGAGCGUAGGCGGGACUGCAAGUUGGGUGUCAAAUCUACCGGCUCAACCGGUAGCCGCACUCAAAACUGCAGUUCUUGAGUGAAGUAGAGGCAGGCGGAAUUCCUGGUGUAGCGGUGAAAUGCGUAGAUAUUAGGAGGAACACCAGUGGCGAAGGCGGCCUGCUGGGCUUUUACUGACGCUGAGGCUCGAAAGUGUGGGGAGCAAACAGGAUUAGAUACCCCAGUAGUC